Molecule: long non-coding RNA, 1469 nt
Filed under: Gossypium raimondii (Peruvian cotton)
Lineage: Eukaryota; Viridiplantae; Streptophyta; Magnoliopsida; Malvales; Malvaceae
Description: long non-coding RNA (GRAI_LNC006870)
Source: RNAcentral
UGGGCUCUUGUGUCUAGGAAAAUGGGCUCAAUCCAUAAAAACUUGGUAUGGGUUAAGAACUGCGGUGCAUCGAGAUCCGAGUCUUUCUGUUUUGAUUCUGAAAACUCAGCAGAGAAAAGAGAUCGUAAUUAACGGCUUUUUCUUUUGUCUUUAGAGUUUAGAUUAAUGGUUUAACUGUUUUUUAUUUUUGGGGUGAGGUUUGUAGGAACCGGCUCUUGCUUCUUGGGCAUUUUGACUUUUAAUAAACAACAUAUACUAAUCUGACUGCGGCCAAAGCCAAAUGAAAGAAAAAAAAAGGAAAAGAGAUGAAAAGAUUCCUCAACGAGGAAGGCAAACAAAAUAAAGCAAAUUAUACCCAACCAGAAAAAAACACUGUUUAUCUCUUUCUUUCGGUUGCUUUUGCUUUAUGGUGUAUAUAUUAUUAUUAAUAUUAUUAUAUAUUAUAAAGGUCAGCAACCGAACAGAGUCUCUUCAGACAAGCCUCAACCCUUCACGGUCUCACUCCUUUGACAUAGAAAUGCCAUUCUUUUUUGUUUCUUCUUUUCUUUUACUCAACCAGGGUUACGUGUGUUUUCACUUUCUUUUUUUGAUUAAAGUGCAAAUACAACAAACAAAAUUCUUGAGCUUUGAAACUUUGUUUUUGUUCACGGGACGGCCCGACCCAGAAUCCAAUGCACACACCUCUCUCUCUCUCUCUCUCUCUCUCUCUCUCUGUGUCUCUGUUACCCUAUACUGACCCUGUCUUGUAGACUACCCUUCCUUGUAGAGUUGUAGAGUUAAAGAGUCAACUCAGUAGAUUUUGUUUUGCUUUAGCUGCUUUUUUUUCCUCUUUUCUUCUCUCUCCACUCGUGUGUGUGUGUGGGAGUAAUGUGAGCCUGUGACUCUUAGAGAGGCUUCACCUUCACUUUUGUUUUCGUAUGAGUAUAAAUCUUUGGUUUUGUUCUCUCUCGCUCUUAUGCCCUUCUAUUGUCAACGCUUGCAAAAAAGAAGUUUACUACCUCCCUUCUUCCUUCCCCUAAAGCCCAUUUACUUUCCCUCUCUUUGCUAUUGCUUUCCCUUUUGUUUUGUUUUUGGACUGUCUCCAUUUCAACUUUGUCCCUUUGUAUUAUCCCCCCAUAGCCCCCACUAAGCUUCACUCUACGCUUCCCUUUCAGCUUCAUAUCACCAGGUACAUUUGUCCCUCCCUUUAUCUUCUCAUCUUCUUCUAUGUCAAGCUCAUUUCUGCUUCUUUUUUUAUCAAGCUAAAUGGGUUUUUUAUAUAUAUAUAUAUAGUUGAAAAAUUAAAAUAGUCUCCUGCAAAAUGCAAAUAAAUGGUAUUUAACACAAAACUUACCUCUUUUAUACUAUCUUGAGGUUUCCUCUUUAAUUUGUGGCUUCCCAUGAUUGUUGCUCUUUUAGUAACUUUGUUUGAAGAAUUUACUCUAUGCAUUCAUUGAAGUGAAAUUGAGUGGAGCUAUUUCGUGUUCGAA